AUACAGAGGGUGCAAGCGUUGUUCGGAAUUACUGGGCGUAAAGCGCGCGUAGGCGGUCUGUUAUGUCAGAUGUGAAAGUCCUCGGCUCAACCGGGGAAGUGCAUUUGAAACUGGCAGACUUGAGUACUGGAGGGGGUGGUGGAAUUCCCGGUGUAGAGGUGAAAUUCGUAGAUAUCGGGAGGAAUACCGGUGGCGAAGGCGACCACCUGGCCAGAUACUGACGCUGAGGUGCGAAAGCGUGGGGAGCAAACAGGAUUAGAAACCCCAGUAGUCC
Molecule: ribosomal RNA, 274 nt
Filed under: uncultured bacterium
Lineage: Bacteria
Description: partial 16S ribosomal RNA
Rfam family: Bacterial small subunit ribosomal RNA
Source: RNAcentral